CGUAGUGAUUCGGUUUGCAGUAAACGUUACGCUUAAUAGCCUAUUCUUACAUUAUUGAUAUUAUAAAUUAAUCGGAGUUUCUUUUCACACGCGCAUAUAUUAAAGUUCAUCGAUCUCAUUUCAUGUUUACGACAGUCAAUGAAGAAUCGCGUAGGUUUAACGUGACGAAUCUCGCUCAGUGUCGGUAAACUCACCUGUUAAAGUCAUUAGAUAAAGCACUUCAAACGAACUUCUGCCGCCGUGACGUCAUCGGGGUCGCGUCCUGUGCCUCAUCGCGGCAGAGGGCAGUAGAAGAACAGACACACACUGUCUCAAACAGGUCCUGUAAGUGAAACUACAGUGAUGAUUACUUCGUUCUGGCCAGAGAAACAGCAGGGUGGGGUUAUUGUUCAUCUCUAAAACCAAACUGAGGCUUUGAUGCACAAAUUGGCUCUCUCAGGCUCGGCCCGUCCUCCAUCAUGGCUCCGGGCUGAUGAGUAACCCCACUUACGACGUGCCCCGGGUCCUCCACGCAAUUAAUGAAGUCAGGCCUUUGAUUGAUUUACUCCAUAACGGGGCGCUCUCAGGGAAUUGAGAGGAGAUCAUGAAUUUGGAAAAUACAUGAGCGAUGACACGUCCUCUC
Molecule: long non-coding RNA, 622 nt
Organism: Carassius carassius (crucian carp)
Lineage: Eukaryota; Metazoa; Chordata; Actinopteri; Cypriniformes; Cyprinidae
Exons: 3
Source: RefSeq, a predicted model, not a curated record